GAGUUUGAUCCUGGCUCAGAUUGCACGCUGGCGGCAUGCCUUACACAUGCAAGUCGAACGGUAACAGGUCUUCGGAUGCUGACGAGUGGCGAACGGGUGAGUAAUACAUCGGAACGUGCCCGAUCGUGGGGGAUAACGGAGCGAAAGCUUUGCUAAUACCGCAUACGAUCUACGGAUGAAAGCAGGGGACCGCAAGGCCUUGCGCGGACGGAGCGGCCGAUGGCAGAUUAGGUAGUUGGUGGGAUAAAAGCUUACCAAGCCGACGAUCUGUAGCUGGUCUGAGAGGACGACCAGCCACACUGGGACUGAGACACGGCCCAGACUCCUACGGGAGGCAGCAGUGGGGAAUUUUGGACAAUGGGCGAAAGCCUGAUCCAGCCAUGCCGCGUGCAGGAUGAAGGCCUUCGGGUUGUAAACUGCUUUUGUACGGAACGAAAAGACUCCUUCUAAUAAAGGGGGUCCAUGACGGUACCGUAAGAAUAAGCACCGGCUAACUACGU
This 500-nucleotide ribosomal RNA is filed under the name uncultured bacterium. Its description in RNAcentral is "bacterial SSU rRNA". It matches the Rfam family "Bacterial small subunit ribosomal RNA", at positions 9 to 506 of the family's 1533-position model. The record is from RNAcentral.